CCUACGGGGGGCUGCAGUGGGGAAUAUUGGACAAUGGGGGCAACCCUGAUCCAGCCAUGCCGCGUGUGUGAAGAAGGCCCUCGGGUUGGAAAGCACUUUCAGUGAGGAAGAACGCCUGGUGGUUAAUACCCAUCAGGAAAGACAUCACUCACAGAAGAAGCACCGGCUAACUCCGUGCCAGCAGCCGCGGUAAUACGGAGGGUGCGAGCGUUAAUCGGAAUUACUGGGCGUAAAGCGCGCGUAGGUGGCUUGAUAAGCCGGUUGUGAAAGCCCCGGGCUCAACCUGGGAACGGCAUCCGGAACUGUCAAGCUAGAGUGCAGGAGAGGAAGGUAGAAUGCCCAGUGUAGCGGUGAAAUGCGUAGAGAUCGGGAGGAAUACCAGUGGCGAAGGCGGCCUUCGGGACUGACACUGACACUGAGGUGCGAAAGCGUGGGUAGCAAACAGGAUUAGAUACCCCAGUAGUC
Molecule: ribosomal RNA, 465 nt
Filed under: Vreelandella stevensii
Lineage: Bacteria; Pseudomonadati; Pseudomonadota; Gammaproteobacteria; Oceanospirillales; Halomonadaceae
Description: partial 16S ribosomal RNA
Rfam family: Bacterial small subunit ribosomal RNA
Source: RNAcentral